Molecule: ribosomal RNA, 441 nt
Filed under: uncultured bacterium
Lineage: Bacteria
Description: partial 16S ribosomal RNA
Rfam family: Bacterial small subunit ribosomal RNA
Source: RNAcentral
CCUACGGGAGGCAGCAGUGGGGAAUAUUGCACAAUGGGGGAAACCCUGAUGCAGCGACGCCGCGUGAGUGAAGAAGUAUUUCGGUAUGUAAAGCUCUAUCAGCAGGGAAGAAGAAAGACGGUACCUGACUAAGAAGCCCCGGCUAACUACGUGCCAGCAGCCGCGGGAAUACGUAGGGGGCAAGCGUUAUCCGGAUGUACUGGGUGUAAAGGGAGCGUAGACGGCUGUGCAAGUCUGAAGUGAAAGCCCAGGGCUCAACCCUGGGACUGCUUUGGAAACUGUGGAGCUAGAGUGCUGGAGAGGUAAGUGGAAUUCCUAGUGUAGCGGUGAAAUGCGUAGAUAUUAGGAGGAACACCAGUGGCGAAGGCGGCUUACUGGACAGUAACUGACGUUGAGGCUCGAAAGCGUGGGGAGCAAACAGGAUUAGAUACCCUGGUAGUC